CAGCGGGUUAAGCGCAGGUGGCGCUAAGCACAAGGACCAGCGGAAGGAUCCCGUUCGAACCCCUGGCUCCCCACCUGCAGGGGAGUCGCUUCACAGGCGGUGAAGCAGGUCUGCAGGUGUCUAUCUUUCUCUCCCUCUCUCUGUCUUCCCCUCCUCUCUCCAUUUCUCUCUGUCCUAUCCAACAACGACAACAACAAUAAUAACUACAACAAUAAAACAACAAGGGCAACAAAAGGGAAUAAAUAAAUAAAAUAAAUAUUUAAAAAAA
Erinaceus europaeus (western European hedgehog) is the source of this 268-nucleotide long non-coding RNA. RefSeq lists it as uncharacterized. The transcript has 2 exons. The record is from RefSeq and is a predicted model, not a curated record. Lineage: Eukaryota; Metazoa; Chordata; Mammalia; Eulipotyphla; Erinaceidae.